RNAcentral lists this unclassified non-coding RNA (342 nucleotides) under soil metagenome. RNAcentral describes it as "partial contains 5.8S ribosomal RNA, internal transcribed spacer 2, and large subunit ribosomal RNA". The stretch from base 1 to 120 matches the Rfam family "5.8S ribosomal RNA", at positions 35 to 154 of the family's 154-position model. The record is from RNAcentral.
GAUGAAGAACGCAGCGAAAUGCGAUAAGUAAUGUGAAUUGCAGAAUCCAGUGAAUCAUCGAAUCUUUGAACGCACAUUGCGCCCGCCAGCAUUCUGGCGGGCAUGCCUGUUCGAGCGUCAUUUCAACCCUCGACCUCCCUUUGGGGAAGUCGGCGUUGGGGACCGGCAGCACACCGCCGGCCCUGAAAUGGAGUGGCGGCCCGUCCGCGGCGACCUCUGCGUAGUAAACCAACUCGCACCGGAACCCCGACGUGGCCACGCCGUAAAACACCCAACUUCUGAACGUUGACCUCGAAUCAGGUAGGACUACCCGCUGAACUUAAGCAUAUCAAUAGCGGAGGA